UUACUAUAAAAUAUUUUAUUAAAAUGAGAAACAGGAUUACAAAAAUACAAAUAUUCAAUGAUAAUACAAUUUUUUACAACAUUUACAAGAUGCAAGUCCUACCACAAUACUUUUACUUAAAAAAAGCUUGCUUUUCAAAUCUUUCUCUUGUGGUCUUGUAAUCACAUACAUAUCCUUGUACUCAUUUAUUAAUCAAGAAUAAAAAAAAAAAAUACAACUUAGAAAACAAUGUGGUGUACCUUGGUAACUACAAGUAACAUCCACAGAAAUAAACUGGCACAUUUUAACAAAAACAUUAGUAAGAAACAUAGAAACAUAGAAUGAGACGGCAGAUAAAAACCAUUUGGCCCAUCUAGUCUGCCCAUUUUUUUUCCGAAAUACUUUUAAGUCACUUUUUUGUAUUUUUAUUUAUUGGUUUUGAAUUCCAAAUACACAUUUUUCUAGAUUUAAAACUGCUGUAAAAAUGUGGUUAGCUAGUAAAAGUACAUGUAAUUCACGUCAAAGGCUGAAAGUUUAUAUCAAUGUUAAAUUUUAUAAAUAUUAAAUGUUUAUGUGAAUAACAUGUUUUAUCCCAAUAGCAAUUUUUAUUCCAUUGAUUAAUUUAUAAAAGUUAUCUACUUAAUUGCCAUAACUCAUCUCAAUGCAUUUGACAAGAAAUCCAAUAAGAAACAAAAUCUUAUAUGAAAAUUUACAGUGUAUCUCUAGUGUAAAUCCAUGAAGGAAUGAAUGAACAUUAUUGUAUCUGUUAUAUGAUUUCAAAUUAAUUUCAUCUGUGUUUUGUCUUGUGUGUUCUUUCUCUGUUACAGUACUCAACGAUUUGCUACUUUUUAUAUCUUUGCAAGGACAAAAAACACAAUUUAUUUUUUAUAAGAAAUUAAUGUUCAUAUGCUUGAUUUGUAAGCAAGUCUAUUAAACCAUUCAGUCUUAUAUAUAAAUGUAUUUUACACAUGCCAAUCAUUUAUAAACGGAUGAAUGCUUUUUACCUUGAGAAUUCUGUUAUGUUAUUCCUGAAAGAUUGAUUUUCUCUAUACAUCACAUCCAGCCCUUUGUGAAUUUUUCUCCUAAUGUACCGUAUUGAAAGUAUCAGAUGGGUAAAAUAAACUAGCAAGGCUAUUCACUAAAAUGAGAAUUCAAAGUGAAUUCAGAGAGAAUUUCAAAUUUGAGUACAAAAAUCCAAAUUGAAAAAAUUAUUUAACUCCGCUUUGCUUCUAUUUUAGAUACUUUUGCCUUAAAUUUUAAAUUCACUUUUAAUUCUCACUUUAGUAAAUAACCCUGUAUACGUAUAUAUUUUUUAUUUAUCUACAUCAAUGCACACAGUCAAAUAUAUACACACUUUCACAUUUAGCUAUAUUUGGGAGCCAGUUUCAAAUAAUCAUUGCUCUCCAUUAUUUAAAAAAACAAAAAAAUAAACAUUCUGUAAAUUAUUUAAUUGUAUCAUUGAUAAAUUAAUUUUUAUAUGACUUACUUAGGAGGCCAAUGAUUAUGUGUGUGUGCGCGUGUGUGUGUGUGUCAUUUGAAAGAAUAUGACAACUAAAAAAAUUAAGAUUUAAUUACUAUUGUUACAGAGGAAUGCUAUUUAUAUCAAAUUAUAUUUUAUGUAAUAGAAAAAAAACAUUUUAAUGAGGCUCAGCCCAAAACAAACUACAUAUUUUUAUUACAACGCAGAACAGCACCUUAAACAUACAUUUAACAGUUUCUUGCACAGCAAGAAACAUCAGAUUAAAUAUUUAAGGACUAAUAUUUACCUUUAUACAUAAUACUGACACAUAUCAAUAGUAUUUUUAUAAAAGAGAGAGACAUCUAAUUGCAUAUAUCCAUAUAUAUUAUAGGUAGAACAUGUAUUUUUAUCACAAUCUGCUGUGGCCAGAUAUACUCUGAAAUAUAUAAAAUAGCAAAAGAAAAUCACAAGAGGACCUAGUAGGGAUUAUUUAAAAGUAAUUUUUGUUUGUUUUAGUUUUUUUUUUUACAUUUAAAUGUUGUUUUUGAUAACUCUGGUGAAGUUCUUCAUUGCCUGUGUUAUGCAAACUACUUUUAUACAGAUAUGAUUCUAGAGAAAUUAGGCUCAAUGGACUACUUCUUUAACCCCUUAAGGACACAACUUCUGGAAUAAAAGGGAAUCACAACGGAAUAUUUAUGUCAUGUGUCCUUAAGGGGUUAAUUAUAAAAGAAGUCGGAUUGACCAUAAAAUAUUAAGAAAAAAAAACAAAACAGGCACAUUUCGCCUUGACAGAAUUCUUCAUUCUUAUUUCUAAGUAAUGGUUGGAAUGUCAGCUCCUCAGUAUGGGUUUAGUAUCGGAAAUAAUUCAGAGAGAGACACAGGGGUGCUGAAUAGUCAGAGAGGAACAAGAGAAAGAGGAGUAAAUAUUAAGUUCAUAGGUUGGUCAGUGGUUCCCCAAAAAGUACUUAAGGCACUCCUACCAGUCCAAGAUUUAGGGAUUACCCAGUUGUGUCUAAGGUUUCUUUUAAUUAGAAAAAAAAAUCUUAAACACACCUGAAUAAUCCCUAAAUCUUGGACUGGUAGGGAUGCCUUAAGACUGGUUUGAGGACCACUGGGCUAUGUAGCAAAACUACUCUAUGUAAAUGAGACAACUUCAUCUCUAAGUGCUGAUCCUGCUUAUCAGAAUAAACUAAACAAAAUAAACAGAAUUUCAAAAUUAAUCUAAGAUCAUGUGCAUACAGCCUUAAUAUGAAAUUAUAAACUUCUUCUUAAUCCUUGCUAUUGGGGUAAUAACACAAUGUUGUUUGGUCCAUGGGAAGAACAUUCAACACUUGCACAUUUGGGGUCAUGUUUAUGUAUAGCAGGACAGUUAUGCAAGUGUUGCAGUUUUAUACCAGUUUGGCAUUUAUGGUGCUAUGAAACCUGUUGGUUAUUUUGUAAGUGUUGCUUUUUUGUGCCUAAUCAUUAUUUUUCAUCUAUUUUUCUUUUCUUUAGAAGCUAUGGAUUUGUCAAUCUUUCCAUUCUUUCUUCUAGAAAAGUGGUCUAUUUUACUUUUUUUCCAGCCGCUAUCUAGUUGGCAAUUUUUUCUGUAAUUACAAUUCCUGUUAAAAAUGGGGGAAUUUAGGCAGAUAAAAUAUUAUGGUUUUUAGACUUUUUUUAAAAUUAUAGUAUUAAUAAAUACAGAUUAGAGAUCAAAAGCAACACUCUUUUCAGAACACUUUGAUAAAUCUUCCCAAAGAAUGUUAAGAUGUAUUUUUUCCCGAAACUAUGAAGGAGUGGGAUCUGGUCACAAAGUGCAAAAUAUUUUGGUGGAUAUCUAUAUAAGAAUGAUUUUAUGCAAGUGUAAGGCCAUGGAUUAAUUACAGGGUGAAAAAUGGGUGAAGGGCAAGAAGAAGAGGACAACUACAACUGUUUGUAGUAUGUAAUUGCUAUGGGAGUAAUUCAGAGAGGGAUGACUUAGUGAAGCAAAGGUAGAUACAUGACUAUAUGUUUUAAAUGCCACAGGCAUGUCAACUAAAUGGCUACAAAGACUGUUUGAAAUUAUAUUGAGCACAGUGAACACACAACAUUUUGAGUUGCUGACUUGGAAUAGACUGCUGGAGUAAGCUUGGGAGAAUAGAAGCAGAAUGGCUGCUGCCAUAACUGCUUUAACACUGCCUAAUAAUUAAAAUGGAGUCUCACUGUUUCAGCACUCCUUGUUUGGCAAGAGCUGUCUGUGUAUAUCUGAUCUGCUUAGUGUUCCAGAAUGGAGUGAAAACAUUGUAUAUACUUCACAAUUUACCGUAUAUAGCUGAAGUGCUGGUGAAAACGAACAACAUGUAUGAAUUAAAUCAAGGCUGAAAGUCACACUAUAUGCUCUUUCUAUAAAAACAUUUUUAUCUAGCAUACUAAUACCUCUUAGCUAGGUAGGCAUACAUGGCAUAUUACUAAGGCAAGUCAUAAAAAACUUUGGAGUUUCAAAUUAAGUUGCUAAGAAUGUACACAUAACUUCAUCCACUUAAUACACAAAUAUACUUUUAUAUGUCCCCAUGGACUACAUCUCUUUAUGAAGCAAUACUUUAUACUAAAGUGAAGAACUUACAAAUAGUUAAAAGGGUAGUCUUAUCAUCACUACUCCAUAGUGGUUAUGGUGCUAUUUGGAUGUGAGCACCAUCCCCAUGUUAAGCGUCAAACUGUUUUUGAGAGGUUGGAUUAAACAAAUAGUCCCCAAAACAACGGGGGCCUGCAUGUCUUCUGCUAUUGCAAAAGAUCCACAUAUAUAAAUCAGCAACAAAAUAUGCCCAUGGCAGCUGAUGGGCUCUGCUUCUCAAUACCAUCCGAGUAUGGACAAAGUUGAUAGUGCUAAUGUGGAGGUAGAACUUUUGUAUUAGCAAUAAAUGAGCGAGAAGAAAGCUGACCACAAAUCACCUGUUUUGGUCAAACUUUUAAGAAUUGGUUUCACUUAGGACAUAGGGGAUGUAGCCUACAGCCUAAUAGCAUCAUGUAACGAUUAUGUUGCUUACAAAGUCCCAUUACAAUAGGCACAUUUUCCUAAUUGAAAGCAAUUAUAAAAUAAAUAUUAAACAAUUAUAACAGCUAUACCAAACAUGUAUGUUCUUUUAUACAUAAAAUACUAUAUAUGUUUAUUUUAUUCACUGCCCUGACCAUCACAACAUUAAAGAUCCAAUAAAUGUACAUAACGUCAUCAAUGAAUCAUCAAUGUCAUAUAUAUAUAUAUAUAUAUAUAUAUAUAUAUAGUAGCCUACAGAAUGUGCAUUUAAAUAUACUGAAGAAUUGCUUCUGUGUUCAUAAUGAGUUGGUGCUCUACAAAUAUUGACUUAUGGAGACAGUCUGACCUCCCUUUACUUUUUACCUAAUUGCCUAGUAUAUUUAUUAUUUCAGAUAAUUUAGGGAAAAUUGAUCACAUUACCAUCAAUCUUUUAUUACAUGCUAAUAAAGUCUCUGCUAUGUGUGUAGACCUGGUAUUCUUUGAUCACAGAAACAUUUUUUUUAUGUUUACUCCUGAAUCUUUCUCCUGUAUGCCUCCCUGAUUUUGAAGAUUUACAGAAAUAUGACAUUGUAUUAGACAAGUUGUACAUUUUAUAGGACACAUUAUAUGUUUUUUUUCUUGAUACACAUACUUUGCAAUAUGUAUUGGUUGACUUACACAACCUUGCUAUUUUUACCUAUUAGUAUUCUAUUCCAGCCAAUUACUUUGUGCCUUUGAAGCAGUAAAUAAUUGUAUACAGCUGUGCUUCUGUGUAACUAAAUUUUGUAGUAUGUUUUAUGCUAGAUCUGCAGAACAAUGGACCUCCAGAUGUAUUAGACUAUAAUGCCCUUUGAUAGUCACAAAGAAAGCAGGUGUCUGAUUCAUGUACAUUGGAAAUGCAUAGGAAUAGCAAUGGUUACUUUGCAUGUGUUAUGGAUUUCCAGAUAUGUUGACACUAAUUAAAUUAUUGAUUAUGGUGAUAAUAUGAACAUGUGUUAUAGUAUCCAGCAAAAUGUGUACAAUAUUGUGCAAGCUACAAGGCACUCUUAAAAUGAAGAUCCUGGCAUCACAAAUCCAAAUUUCAAAUAUUACGAUGCCAGCAACUGACAAAAAUAAAGUAAAUAACCUCCUUAUUCCCCAUAACUUCUUUUUCACAUCUGGCUUCCAAGCUAUGUGCAAUUGUUGCCUAUAUGUUAAUGUAAUAAAAAUAAAAGUAAGAGAAAAAACUUAAACAAGAAAAUAGCAUACUGCUUUAAGUAAUAUUAGGAUAAACAUAUAUGUAGUUAAGAGAAAGCAAGGCAUUUCAGUUGACUUACCAAGCUUGAUAAAAUAUGGGAGUACUUGCACACAAUACAGCAAAUAAUUAGUUGAAGGUAUGAGAAUUCUUUAAAGUCAUUAGAUCUGAAAACAAAGAACAGAACGGCAGCCCCAGUCCCUAUCAUUAAACUUUGGUGAAGGUCAAUUAUUUUGUCUCAGAUGACUAGCAAAAAUUUUCACAAUAGCCUUUUCUUUUAGAUCACUAAGGUAGUACAUUAAAAUAAUAGUUGUGUUUUCCAACACAUGAUUCAUUUAGAUUUAGUCCAUGUUUACAGUAUUUUGUGUGAAUGAGUUGCAUAUUUAUUCUGAAUGCACAUUUUUAUGGUCACACUGUAGCUUUCAUCCAGUAUAUAGAAUGCUAUUUUAAGAAGGCAGACAAUAACAGUACUUAAUCUAAAAGAGUAUAUUUCUUGUCUAUUUUUGUACGCAAUUUGUUUAUUGAAAAAUCUUAAACAAUAUUUAGAUCACUUACAACACUGACUUUUUUCUGUGUUGUAAUGUUACACAUCUCAUUGCCACUUUUAUAUGCCCCCUUUUUUUGCAAUAGACAUUUUCCACCCAUAAUAGAAAGUUACAAUGUAAUUAUGAAAGUUGCAUUUGUUCCCUUUUUGUCUGAAUGCAUAAAUUAUAUAGAUAUCAUUAUCUAUACUGCACAGCAAGCCUGUCAAACUCAAAGGCUAACAAGGGCCAAAUAAACAAGGUUUAAAUUUAUGUGGCCCGCAAAAAAAUAAAACUUCAGUUUUCAUAGAAACAUAGGUUUCUUUAGAAAAGUUAAGUAUAAAAAAGUUGCCUAAUUGUCACUGGACAUCCUCAUACUCGUAGGGCUUCAAAGUAAGCUAAAGAGCACAUUUAUUUUAAGGCGACCUGCAUUUGCAUAUAACCAAUGUUUCAGUCCAGCUACCUUUACAUAGUUAGAAAAGUUUGGUAAUGGGACUGAAAUGGUGAAAGUAUGCUGUUGCACAGCUGUAAAAAACAAAUGACGUUAUCUUGUUGAUUUUGAAGUCCUAUGAGUGUGUUCUUCACUUUGGCUGAGAUCAUUAAAAUUCCCUAUCGGAAAACAUUGGGAGGCUAUUGUCCAUGUGUUGCAAAAAGCUGCGCGGCCAAUCAGCAUCUCCACAGCAUCUCUAAUACACUGCCCCCAUCUAAUACACUGCCCACAAAUCCAAUACAUUUCCACAAAUCCAAUCUAAUACACUGCCCCUUAAUAUAAUACACUGCCCAUCCUCCUUCCGCUCUAAUUGAAUACACUGCCCCUCCUCCCAGCACUCUAAUUUAAUAUACUGCCCCCUCCUUCCUCCAAAUUACUACAUUGCCCUCCCACAAUCUAGCACACUGCUCCCUCCCACCUCACUA
Pelobates cultripes (western spadefoot toad) is the source of this 7076-nucleotide non-coding RNA. Lineage: Eukaryota; Metazoa; Chordata; Amphibia; Anura; Pelobatidae. The record is from the annotation of a GenBank genome assembly.